UUUGUUCGGAGUUCGGUGAUAAUUUAUUUUUGCUUUUUAUUAUCUGUGCUUUAAUAAUAUUAUUAAUAAUAAUGGAAGCAACACAAAAUCAAUAUUACAAAUAUUGUAUCGUUCACUUGUGUUCCAAUACCACUUAUAAAACACCCGGAAAGUUAUUUAUUCGUGUGCCUAAAGAUCAAAAACGUCGUUUAAAAUGGUUAAAGGCAUGCAGAAAAAAUGAGAAAGAUAUUUCACAGAAAACUACAGCCCAUGUAUGUGAGGAUCAUUUUAAUCUUGAAGAAGACAUUGAUAACUAUGUUAAAUACAAGUUAAUGGGUGGUCCAAAAAAAAUGAAACCAAAUGUAGUGCCUCAUAUAUUUGAUUGCCAGCAAAGUAGAAAAAGAUCUUUUGAAAAUCAUCCCAGGGCAGCAGGUACUAAGAGAACUGCAAAAAGAAUUGUUGAUGAAGCUAUUUCUUUGGUGCCACAAGAUCCAGUUUGUAUUCAGGAGAAUUUGGGCAUAGUUGCAUGUAGUAGUAAGACCAUUCACCCUAUGGAAAUUCAGCUGGAAACAAAAAAUGACAUUGAAGUUUCAAAAAGGGAUGUCUCUUCACAAACCCGUCCUAGUGUUAGGACUAAAGGUGUUCAAUGUAACCUACAUUGUGGAAUUACAGUAGCGUUAUCGCCAAUCAGAAUUAUUCCAGACAACAUAGAGAUGAAGCCAUCAACGAGUUAUGUGACAAAUAUUUCUGAAACUACUCUAAGCAUACAAAGUAGUGGUCAUGAAAAUUUUAGUGAAAGUGUUAGUGGAAGUAGUGAGUAUACUUUAACGCCUGGUGAAGUGAAAAAACUUAAUGAUGAAAAGAGAACUGAAUUUAAAAAUCUGACAAUGAAUUGUACAAUUACAAAGUUACAAAACAGACCUAGAUUGUAUAUGGGAUUACCAGAACAUGCAUACUACACAUUUCAAUUGCUAGAAAAAUAUUGCACGGUAAAUUCUAUGUAUAUAUUUUUAACACUAAAAAAAAUCAGGACUGGACUUUCUUUUUUAGCUCUAGCAGAUGAUUUUGGCAUAACUGAAAGUUAUGCUUCAAAAAUAUUUUCGAAAUCUGUUCCAAUUAUAAGUAAAUAUUUAAGAAAAUGUAUAAUACAACCUCAGGUUUCAUUCGUGAAAUCAAAUUUACCUAUAGCUUUUCGAGCUCGAUAUUGUAAUAUUUACUGUAUAAUUGAUUGUUUAGAAAUAGAGAUAGAGAAACCAACUGAUGCAGUGAAACAAUCUUUAACAUGGUCAGAAUAUAAAAAAUGUAAUACACUUAAAUAUUUAAUAUGUUGCACUCCUGAUGGUAUCAUAAAUUAUAUAUCGACAGCAUUUGGGGGUCGUACAUCUGAUGCUAUCAUUGCAGAACAUAGUGGUUUUUUAAAUAUUUUACCUUCAAAUGUUGCUGUUAUGGCAGAUAGGGGAUUUAAACAUAUUGACCAUUUACUUAGGUCUAAAGGUUGUGUACUAAUCAGGCCACCGAGUGUCUCUGUAGGUACAAAACCUAGUAAAGAUGAGGUAUUUGAGACCAAACGAAUAGCUAGCUUGAGAAUUCAUGUAGAAAGAGUUAUUCGUAGAUUGAGAGAAUUUUCAUUUUUAGCACCACAUGCAUGUAUUGAUAAUAAAUUGUUGUGUUAUUCAGAUAAUAUUAUCAAAAUAGUGUGUGGAUUAAUCAACUUGCAAUCAGGAAUAAUUUCAGGACGGUAACUUUUUGUAGGUUUUACUUUUAUACUUUGUAGGUAGUUAUUUAGUUUUAGAAAAAAAUUUUAGAAUAUUUUUAAGAAAAUGGUUGGUAAAAACCUGAUAUUUCAUAUUAUUACUAUUUCACUAUUUGCAAUAUAUUAUUAUCUGAUCUUAUACAAUUCUAAUGCGACAAGCCAUGCAGUUUCCCAGGACAGUACCUAACUUUUUAUAACGGGAUAAUUUUAUUAUACAGGGUGUAACAAAAAUACAGGUCAUAAAUUUAAUCACAUAUUCUGGGACCAAAAAUAGUUCUAUUGAACCUAACUUACCUUAGUACAAAUGUGCACGGAAAAAAGUUACAGACCUUUGAAGUUACAAAAAUCGAAUUUUUCCAAUAUAUAGAAAACUAUUAGAGAUUUUUUAUUGAAAAUGUACAUGUGGUAUUAAGUAUUAUGGCAGUAGUAUUUUAAGAAAAAAUUAUAAUGAAAUUUUAACACUCCAUAAAAUUUUUAUGGGAGUUUGGUUACUUUAAACCCCCCCCCCCCCCACUUUUGUGUACGUGUAUUUAAAUAUUAUUGUAGUGCCAUUAGUUAAACACAAGUUUUUAAAAACUUUUUUGAUUCUUAGUAUUUUUUCCAAAAGUCAGUUUUUAUCGAGAUAGUUCAAUAUUUGUCAAAUCCACCACAUAUUUGUAUGGUAAGGUACGAUUAUGGAGACUUGGUAAUAAUAUGAAAAUUUAUUUAUGAUUUACAUUUUUUGUAUAUUUUGAACCAUAUUAAAAAAGAAGCCACAUCUCGAUAAAAGAUGCUUUAUCAAAAAAAUACAAAGAGGCAAAAAAGUUUUAAAAACACUGUGUUUAAUUAAUGAUACCGCAGUAAUAGUUUAAUUGGAACGUACACAAACAUUUGGGGGGUUUAAAGGAACAAAACCCUCAUAAAAUUUUUAUGUAAACAUAUUAAAAAAGAAGCCGCAACUCGACAAAAACUGCCUUAUCGAAAAAAUACUAAGAGCCAAAAAAGUUUUAAAAAUAUUAAAUUUAACUAAUGGUACCACAAUAAUAAUUUAAUUGGGACGUACAGAAAAGUUUGGGGGGGUUUAAGGGAGCAAAACCCCCAUAAAAAUUUUAUGGGGAGCACAAAUUUCACUAUAAUUUUUCUUUAAGGUGCUUCUACCAUAAGAAUGCUACAUAUCCAUUUUCCAUAGAAAAUCUCUAAUAGUUUUCGAUACAUUCGAAAAAAUCGAUUUUCAUUUUGUAACUUCGAAGGGCUAUAACUUUUUUUAUGUGCAUAUUUGUACUAAGGUAAGUUAGGUUCAUUCGAACUACUUUUGGUCCCAGAAUAUGUGAUUUAAUUUAUGACCUGUAUUUUUGUUACACCCUGUAUAUUAUGUUAAAUAUAAUAUAAACAAUAAAUGUAAAGUAACAUUUAUUUUGUUUUAUUUCACAAUUAUACCAGAUUCCCAAAUGCAUCUAUCUAGGGAUUGGUCAAGGUCAAACACAGUAAAAGUAAUUUAAUAAAAACAAAUCAAACUAAUAUCGUAGUGCAAGUGGUUUUAUUAAUCAUAAAUUAAUUAUAGGUAUAUACCUAAAUUAUACUUUAUAUAUUUAUAUGUAUAUACAGCACAACCAGAUUCACAUUGUAUUUGUGAUUUGGAUGUGCACUGUUGUUGACUUUCGGUUUUUCCAUAUUUUCUGAAUUUUAUUUUGGUACCGUGCAGGCAUUUUACUUGGCGAGACGUUACAAA
RNAcentral lists this unclassified non-coding RNA (3440 nucleotides) under Diabrotica virgifera virgifera (western corn rootworm). RNAcentral's name for it is "uncharacterized LOC126892532". The record is from RNAcentral. Lineage: Eukaryota; Metazoa; Arthropoda; Insecta; Coleoptera; Chrysomelidae.